This 472-nucleotide ribosomal RNA is filed under the name uncultured bacterium. RNAcentral's name for it is "bacterial SSU rRNA". It matches the Rfam family "Bacterial small subunit ribosomal RNA", at positions 28 to 507 of the family's 1533-position model. The record is from RNAcentral.
GAUGAACGCUGGCGGCGUGCUUAACACAUGCAAGUCGAACGAAGAUGCCGGAGUGCUUGCACUUUGGCAGACUGAGUGGCGGACGGGUGAGUAACGCGUGGGUAACCUGCCUUAUACAGGGGGAUAACAGUUGGAAACGACUGCUAAUACCGCAUAAGCGCACGGUAUCGCAUGAUACAGUGUGAAAAACUCCGGUGGUAUAAGAUGGACCCGCGUCUGAUUAGCUAGUUGGUGAGGUAACGGCCCACCAAGGCGACGAUCAGUAGCCGGCCUGAGAGGGUGAACGGCCACAUUGGGACUGAGACACGGCCCAAACUCCUACGGGAGGCAGCAGUGGGGAAUAUUGCACAAUGGGGGAAACCCUGAUGCAGCGACGCCGCGUGAGUGAUGAAGUAUUUCGGUAUGUAAAACUCUAUCAGCAGGGAAGAUAAUGACGGUACCUGACUAAGAAGCAACCGGCUAAAAUACCGUG